RNAcentral lists this long non-coding RNA (697 nucleotides) under Salmo salar (Atlantic salmon). RNAcentral describes it as "lncRNA (ENSSSAG00000088489.1)". Lineage: Eukaryota; Metazoa; Chordata; Actinopteri; Salmoniformes; Salmonidae. The record is from RNAcentral.
GAAGAUAAUGCGGUCGGCAUUUGAAUGUACAGAAUUCUAGGUCAGGUGAACAAAAUGACUUAAGUUCCUGUAUGUUGUUAUGAUUACACCAUGAGUCUUUAAUCAUGAGGCAUACACCCCCGCCCUUCUUUUUACCAGAGAGAAGUUUGUCUCUGUCGGCGCAAUGCAUGUAGAAACCGAGUGGCGGCACCGACUCUGACAACAUAUCCCGAGUGAGCCAUGUUUCCGUGAAACAGAGAAUGUUAUAAUCUCUGAUGUCUCUCUGGAAGGCAACUCGUGCCCUAAUUUCGUCCACCUUGUUAUCUAGAGAUUGGACAUUGGCGAGUAAUAUGCUUGGGAGCGGUGGAUGGUGUUCUCGCCUUCUGAGUCUGACCAGUAGGCUGUUCCGUCUGCCUCUCCUGCGGCGACCGCGUUGUUUUGGGUCGACCUCUGCGAUAAUAUCCCACUUCCAGGUUGGAGGUCCGAACAAAGGAUCAGCUUCGGGAAAGACGUAUUCCUGGUCGUAAUGAUGGCAUGGUCAGAGAGAGAAAGAUAGAGAAGUCAUAGCCUGAAAGGCCAUGCCCCAAGAGUCCCUGGGGUGGAGAGAGAAAGAAAGAGUAUAUCUUACCAGCGCAGACCUACAGGAUGUAAAGACAGCAGAACCUCUGCUACCCAGAGGCAACUCUGUGAAGAACAAAUUCUUAUUUACUAUGACGGC